Long non-coding RNA from Metopolophium dirhodum (rose-grain aphid), 367 nucleotides. RefSeq lists it as uncharacterized. The record is from RefSeq and is a predicted model, not a curated record. The transcript has 4 exons. NCBI's taxonomy places the organism in Eukaryota, Metazoa, Arthropoda, Insecta, Hemiptera, Aphididae.
UGUCAGUCGACUAUGCCUUCCGGCGUCCGUACUAUAUUGCUUUUUUUUCUUCAGCCGUUGGCGCCAUUCUUCAAUAAGUACCUACCAAAUAACGAAACAAGAUUUAAUUCUAUUAUACCAAUAUCAUGACAAAGUAUAAACCGCUCCGUAUGUUAAACUUUUUCAAUCAAAUAAACAUAUUUUAAAGAAAUUUGAAAGAAAAAUAUGGUAAUAUAUUAUUUCAUAAUAAUAUCUAUAAAAUGGCCGAAUUGUUACAAUGGUAUUAUAUAGUAUGUGUGUCAUUGGUUUUCAAAUCCAUCAUAUUGCUAUACAUGUAAUAAAGUCAUGUCGAGAUCUCUUAUAAUAUUAUGAUGCACUAUGUGACCGC